RNAcentral lists this ribosomal RNA (254 nucleotides) under uncultured bacterium. RNAcentral's name for it is "partial 16S ribosomal RNA". It matches the Rfam family "Bacterial small subunit ribosomal RNA", at positions 524 to 776 of the family's 1533-position model. The record is from RNAcentral.
UACGUAGGGUGCGAGCGUUGUCCGGAAUUAUUGGGCGUAAAGAGCUCGUAGGCGGUGUGUCGCGUCGGUCGUGAAAACUUUCAGCUUAACUGGGAGCUUGCGGUCGAUACGGGCAUCACUGGAGUUCGGCAGGGGAGACUGGAAUUCCUGGUGUAGCGGUGAAAUGCGCAGAUAUCAGGAGGAACACCGGUGGCGGAGGCGGGUCUCUGGGCCGAUACUGACGCUGAGGAGCGAAAGCGUGGGGAGCGAACAGG